RNAcentral lists this ribosomal RNA (233 nucleotides) under Escherichia coli. RNAcentral's name for it is "partial 16S ribosomal RNA". It matches the Rfam family "Bacterial small subunit ribosomal RNA", at positions 1 to 230 of the family's 1533-position model. Lineage: Bacteria; Pseudomonadati; Pseudomonadota; Gammaproteobacteria; Enterobacterales; Enterobacteriaceae. The record is from RNAcentral.
AAAUUGAAGAGUUUGAUCAUGGCUCAGAUUGAACGCUGGCGGCAGGCCUAACACAUGCAAGUCGAACGGUAACAGGAAGAAGCUUGCUUCUUUGCUGACGAGUGGCGGACGGGUGAGUAAUGUCUGGGAAACUGCCUGAUGGAGGGGGAUAACUACUGGAAACGGUAGCUAAUACCGCAUAACGUCGCAAGACCAAAGAGGGGGACCUUCGGGCCUCUUGCCAUCGGAUGUGC